RNAcentral lists this long non-coding RNA (1189 nucleotides) under Anolis carolinensis (green anole). RNAcentral's name for it is "lncRNA (ENSACAG00000043382.1)". The record is from RNAcentral. Lineage: Eukaryota; Metazoa; Chordata; Lepidosauria; Squamata; Anolidae.
AUGAAAGCCCUCAACGAAGGCAUCAACCGAGGCAAAAACAGGGUCUUUGAUGAGGUGAAAGUUGACGAAAGUCUGUCCCUGGAGCAUGUGACGCGAGGGAGAGCCAAGCAAGCACAUGGCCGCCGGCCGCCAACCAGAAGCCAUCUAAAGGAGGUAAGAAUGAGAUUUAGAAACCACCCUGAACACAGCUUUGUACAUUUGAUCAUCUGAAUGUAAAUACGAUCAGUCCUCCAUAUUCGGGGAUUUGACUUUUCUAGGUUUGAUUAUUCAUUGAUUGGAUUUGGGAUGGAUCUACACUGCCAUAUAAUCUAGAUCAGGGAUGGGCAAACUUUGGCCCUCCAGGUGUUUUGGACUUCAACUCUCCUGAGGUGCUUGUUGGGACACAGAGGGCGGAGCUAGGGAAGGGGGCGGGGCCUCCUUCCAAGAACCCGAGACAGGGCUGAGCUUCUAUACUUCUCCUGAGAGGCAUUUCAGGGCUAAAGGGCAGGGCUAGGGGUGUGGGCGGGGCCUCUUCCCAAGAGCGCAAGACAGGGCUGAGCCUCUAUACCUCUCCUGAGAGGCCUUUUAGGACUAAAGGGCAGGGCUAGGGGUGUGGGCGGGGCCUCUUCCCAAGAGCGCAAGACAGGGCUGUGCCUCUACAUCUCUCCUGAGAGGCCUUUUAGGACUAAAGGGCGGGGCUAGGGGUGUGGGCGGGGCCUCUUCCCAAGAGCGCAAGACAGGGCUGUGCCUCUACAUCUCUCCUGAGAGGCCUUUUAGGACUAAAGGGCGGGGCUAGGGGUGUGGGCGGGGCCUCUUCCCAAGAGCGCAAGACAGGGCUGAGCCUCUAUACCUCUCUGAAAAGCCUUUUAGUACUAAAGGGCAGGGCUAGGGGUGUGGGCGGGGCCUCUUCCUAAGAGCGCAAGACAGGGCUGAGCCUCUAUAUCUCUCCUGAGAGGCCUUUUAGGACUAAAGGGCGGGGCUAGGGGUGUGGGCGGGGCCUCUUCCUAAGAGCAAAAGACAGGGCUGAGCCUCUACAUCUCUCCUGAGAGGCCUUUUAUUACUAAAGGGCGGGGCUAGGGGUGUGGGCGGGGCCUCUUCCUAAGAGCGCAAGACAGGGCUGAGCCUCUAUAUCUCUCCUGAGAGGCCUUUUAGGACUAAAGGGCGGGGCUAGGGGUGGGGGCGGGGCCUCUUCCCAAGAGCGCAAGACAGG